Long non-coding RNA from Aricia agestis (brown argus), 937 nucleotides. RefSeq lists it as uncharacterized. The record is from RefSeq and is a predicted model, not a curated record. The transcript has 2 exons. NCBI's taxonomy places the organism in Eukaryota, Metazoa, Arthropoda, Insecta, Lepidoptera, Lycaenidae.
UAGACCACGGAGGCGUUGAUAUAACUUGUAAACCAGAUAAAGUUUUGAAUAAGCUAAAGCAAAUCUAAAGCAAAUAAAAAUCUAUUAAACAUUCGCUUUGAUGGGCAUAAUAAUAAUUACGUACUUAAUUUUUUUUAAAUCAUUUCCAGCGCGCUGGAAAUAACUGGAGGACUUGCAAAUUGUAGUAUACUUAGUAGCACUUUUAUUAAUAUUACAUAAUACAUUGUUUAAUAUUAUCAAGCAUAUUAAAAAUCUUAUUUAAAUCAAAACGUGUUUAAUCAAAUGUAUAGAAAGAUAAGCACUAAGUAUACAAUGAUAUCUUGCUUAAUGACAGUGCUAUAGCAAUCGUUGUAGAAGGAACAUUCAGGAAAUGAAAGUUGACGAUGGGUUCUUUACUGCAGUUAAUUUAUUUUUGUAUCAUUUUACUCGUACUCUUGAUUUCAGUAUCGUGCAGCAUCGAGAGUAAAAUGAAGAGCGACUUGAAAAAAUUAUCAAGAGAUAUAAAAAAAUCACAGAAACUAUGUGAUAAGAAUUUACUGGGUUUGAAUAAAAAAAUAAAAAUCCCUUCGCUUGCAGGGAGUAAAUUAUCAAAUUUUGAAACAAAAAUCAAUUUGUACAAGCUUGACGCAAAGUUGAAGAAUCCUCUAAAGAAAUUGAAAGCUCCCUCUUUACUGGGGUUACCAAAAUUACCAAUUCUACCUUUACUUCCGUUACCUUUGCUACCUCUACCAUUAAUACCACCGCUAUCUUUAAUUCCACCGCCAUUAUUACCUUUGCCUCGAUCGUCUCUAUUACCUAAGCCAAAACUGCUGACACCUUUAUCAUUACGAGUGAAGAAAUUGAAGGACAAGAUUAAUUUACAGACGGCUCUGGGGUCCGAAUUAAAACCUAUUUGGGUACCAGCUGAGAAUAACAAAAAUAGAGCACUUGACAAACU